Molecule: ribosomal RNA, 1380 nt
Filed under: uncultured bacterium
Lineage: Bacteria
Description: 16S ribosomal RNA
Rfam family: Bacterial small subunit ribosomal RNA
Source: RNAcentral
AGAGUUUGAUCCUGGCUCAGAUUGAUUGCUGGCGGCAGGCCUAACACAUGCAAGUCGAGCGGUAGAGAGAAGCUUGCUUCUCUUGAGAGCGGCGGACGGGUGAGUAAUGCCUAGGAAUCUGCCUGGUAGUGGGGGAUAACGUUCGGAAACGGACGCUAAUACCGCAUACGUCCUACGGGAGAAAGCAGGGGACCUUCGGGCCUUGCGCUAUCAGAUGAGCCUAGGUCGGAUUAGCUAGUUGGUGAGGUAAUGGCUCACCAGGGCGACGAUCCGUAACUGGUCUGAGAGGAUGAUCAGUCACACUGGAACUGAGACACGGUCCAGACUCCUACGGGAGGCAGCAGUGGGGAAUAUUGGACAAUGGGCGAAAGCCUGAUCCAGCCAUGCCGCGUGUGUGAAGAAGGUCUUCGGAUUGUAAAGCACUUUAAGUUGGGAGGAAGGGCAGUAAAUUAAUACCUUGCUGUUUUGACGUUACCGACAGAAUAAGCACCGGCUAACUCUGUGCCAGCAGCCGCGGUAAUACAGAGGGUGCAAGCGUUAAUCGGAAUUACUGGGCGUAAAGCGCGCGUAGGUGGUUUGUUAAGUUGGAUGUGAAAUCCCCGGGCUCAACCUGGGAACUGCAUUCAAAACUGACUGACUAGAGUAUGGUAGAGGGUGGUGGAAUUUCCUGUGUAGCGGUGAAAUGCGUAGAUAUAGGAAGGAACACCAGUGGCGAAGGCGACCACCUGGACUAAUACUGACACUGAGGUGCGAAAGCGUGGGGAGCAAACAGGAUUAGAUACCCUGGUAGUCCACGCCGUAAACGAUGUCAACUAGCCGUUGGAAGCCUUGAGCUUUUAGUGGCGCAGCUAACGCAUUAAGUUGACCGCCUGGGGAGUACGGCCGCAAGGUUAAAACUCAAAUGAAUUGACGGGGGCCCGCACAAGCGGUGGAGCAUGUGGUUUAAUUCGAAGCAACGCGAAGAACCUUACCAGGCCUUGACAUCCAAUGAACUUUCUAGAGAUAGAUUGGUGCCUUCGGGAACAUUGAGACAGGUGCUGCAUGGCUGUCGUCAGCUCGUGUCGUGGGAUGUUGGGUUAAGUCCCGUAACGAGCGCAACCCUUGUCCUUAGUUACCAGCACGUCAUGGUGGGCACUCUAAGGAGACUGCCGGUGACAAACCGGAGGAAGGUGGGGAUGACGUCAAGUCGUCAUGGCCCUUACGGCCUGGGCUACACACGUGCUACAAUGGUCGGUACAGAGGGUUGCCAAGCCGCGAGGUGGAGCUAAUCCCACAAAACCGAUCGUAGUCCGGAUCGCAGUCUGCAACUCGACUGCGUGAAGUCGGAAUCGCUAGUAAUCGCGAAUCAGAAUGUCGCGGUGAAUACGUUCCCGGGCCUUG